CACGUGCUCCGGGGUCGGUGAGAGUCCGAACCGGCGGUGACAGUCCGCGAGCCGGCACCUCGGUGCCGGUUGACCUGGUGGAACUCCAGGACCGACGGUGAAAGUCCGGAUGGGAGGAAGCACGCG
This is a non-coding RNA of Georgenia sp., 126 nucleotides long. Lineage: Bacteria; Bacillati; Actinomycetota; Actinomycetes; Allobogoriellales; Allobogoriellaceae. The record is from Rfam.